UUUUUUUUAAGGUUGACC
This 18-nucleotide ribosomal RNA is filed under the name Fonsecaea pedrosoi. RNAcentral's name for it is "partial 28S ribosomal RNA". Lineage: Eukaryota; Fungi; Ascomycota; Eurotiomycetes; Chaetothyriales; Herpotrichiellaceae. The record is from RNAcentral.